CCUGGGACUUGCGUCCCAGGCUAUUGCAUUCCGUGGCUUCGCCACU
Molecule: small RNA, 46 nt
Filed under: Rosistilla oblonga
Lineage: Bacteria; Pseudomonadati; Planctomycetota; Planctomycetia; Pirellulales; Pirellulaceae
Description: Acido-Lenti-1 RNA
Rfam family: Acido-Lenti-1 RNA
Source: Rfam by way of RNAcentral